RNAcentral lists this ribosomal RNA (481 nucleotides) under uncultured bacterium. Its description in RNAcentral is "bacterial SSU rRNA". It matches the Rfam family "Bacterial small subunit ribosomal RNA", at positions 501 to 985 of the family's 1533-position model. The record is from RNAcentral.
CUACGUGCCAGCAGCCGCGGUAAUACGGAAGGUCCGGGCGUUAUCCGGAUUUAUUGGGUUUAAAGGGAGCGUAGGCUGGAGAUUAAGUGUGUUGUGAAAUGUAGACGCUCAACGUCUGACUUGCAGCGCAUACUGGUUUCCUUGAGUACGCACAACGUUGGCGGAAUUCGUCGUGUAGCGGUGAAAUGCUUAGAUAUGACGAAGAACUCCGAUUGCGAAGGCAGCUGACGGGAGCGCAACUGACGCUGAAGCUCGAAGGUGCGGGUAUCGAACAGGAUUAGAUACCCUGGUAGUCCGCACAGUAAACGAUGGAUGCCCGCUGUUGGUACCUGGUAUCAGCGGCUAAGCGAAAGCAUUAAGCAUCCCACCUGGGGAGUACGCCGGCAACGGUGAAACUCAAAGGAAUUGACGGGGGCCCGCACAAGCGGAGGAACAUGUGGUUUAAUCCGAUGAUACGCGAGGAACCUUACCCGGGCUUGAA